RNAcentral lists this ribosomal RNA (162 nucleotides) under uncultured bacterium. RNAcentral's name for it is "partial 16S ribosomal RNA". It matches the Rfam family "Bacterial small subunit ribosomal RNA", at positions 1339 to 1500 of the family's 1533-position model. The record is from RNAcentral.
UAAUGGCAGGUCAGCAUACUGCCGUGAAUACGUUCCCGGGCCUUGUACACACCGCCCGUCACACCAUGAGAGUUGGGAAUACCCGAAGCCUGUGAGCUAACAUUUAUGAGGCAGCAGUCGAAGGUAGAAUCAAUGAUUGGGGUGAAGUCGUAACAAGGUAUC